RNAcentral lists this ribosomal RNA (33 nucleotides) under Armillaria mellea. RNAcentral describes it as "partial small subunit ribosomal RNA". Lineage: Eukaryota; Fungi; Basidiomycota; Agaricomycetes; Agaricales; Physalacriaceae. The record is from RNAcentral.
GGCUUCCGUAGGUGACCUGCGGAAGGAUCAUUA